Molecule: ribosomal RNA, 606 nt
Filed under: Triticum aestivum (bread wheat)
Lineage: Eukaryota; Viridiplantae; Streptophyta; Magnoliopsida; Poales; Poaceae
Description: partial small subunit ribosomal RNA
Source: RNAcentral
AUGCAUUCACAGGUCCCAGUGGAUAAUAAGAAGAAAAUUUGAAGGUCGAAUAUUCCACUAAAAGUUGAGACCUUCAUGUGGUAUCUUCAGAAGGGAGGAGUGCUAACCAAAGAUAACCUCGCCGGUUGUAACUGACAAGGAAGCAAGAAGUGUAGCUUUUGUACUCAUGACGAGACAAUCAGACACGUCUUUUUUUAGUGCAAGUUUUCGUGUUCUACGUGGUCAAUCCUUCAAAUAGCGUCUAAUCUUUAUCCACCCACAUGUGUUGUUAAUAUUCUUGGUCAUUCGCUGGACAGUAUUCCUUAUAGAUUCAAAACACUAAUAAAGGUGGAAGCGUAUGCCUUAUUAUUGUUGCUUUGGCUAUGUAGAAAUGAUGUGAUUUUUAAUGACAAAAACUCUUCUCCGUUACAGGUUAUUUCCGUUGUACGCAAUCGCUUCAUACAUGGUCUAUACUUCACAAUACGGAGUUCCAACCGCUGUUCAAAGCGGUGUGUACGUAACUGGAGCGAGUGGCCAUGGAGGUUUUUUCCCAAUAUGGGUGGCAGCAUAACCUCUGUAUCGGCCAAUCACGUCCUUCGACAUAGGCAUAAUGACGCUCUUAUUUGA